This 439-nucleotide ribosomal RNA is filed under the name uncultured Actinomycetales bacterium. RNAcentral's name for it is "bacterial SSU rRNA". It matches the Rfam family "Bacterial small subunit ribosomal RNA", at positions 341 to 792 of the family's 1533-position model. Lineage: Bacteria; Bacillati; Actinomycetota; Actinomycetes; Actinomycetales. The record is from RNAcentral.
ACGGGAGGCAGCAGUGGGGAAUAUUGCACAAUGGGCGGAAGCCUGAUGCAGCGACGCCGCGUGAGGGAUGACGGCCUUCGGGUUGUAAACCUCUUUCAGCAGGGACGAAGCGCAAGUGACGGUACCUGCAGAAGAAGCGCCGGCCAACUACGUGCCAGCAGCCGCGGUAAGACGUAGGGCGCGAGCGUUGUCCGGAUUUAUUGGGCGUAAAGAGCUCGUAGGCGGCUUGUCGCGUCGACCGUGAAAACUUGGGGCUCAACCCCAAGCCUGCGGUCGAUACGGGCAGGCUAGAGUUCGGUAGGGGAGACUGGAAUUCCUGGUGUAGCGGUGAAAUGCGCAGAUAUCAGGAGGAACACCGGUGGCGAAGGCGGGUCUCUGGGCCGAUACUGACGCUGAGGAGCGAAAGCGUGGGGAGCGAACAGGAUUAGAUACCCUGGUA